RNAcentral lists this ribosomal RNA (421 nucleotides) under uncultured bacterium. RNAcentral's name for it is "partial 16S ribosomal RNA". It matches the Rfam family "Bacterial small subunit ribosomal RNA", at positions 360 to 773 of the family's 1533-position model. The record is from RNAcentral.
AAUAUUGGACAAUGGGGGCAACCCUGAUCCAGCCAUGCCGCGUGUGUGAUGAAGGUCUUCGGAUUGUAAAGCACUUUAAGUUGGGAGGAAGGGCUUUAGGUUAAUAGGCUGAAGUUUUGACGUUACCAACAGAAUAAGAACCGGCUAACUCUGUGCCAGCAGCCGCGGUAAUACAGGGGGUGAAAGCGUUAAGCGGAAUUACUGGGCGUAAAGCGCGCGUAGGUGGUUCAGAAUGAUGGGUGUGAAACCCCCGGGCUUAACCUGGGAACUGCUUUCAUAACUGCUGAGCUAGAGUACGGUAGAGGGUAGUGAAAUUUCCUGUGUAGCGGUGAAAUGCGUAGAUAUGGGAAGAAACCCCAGUGGCAAAGGCGACUACCUGGACUGAUACUGACACUGAGGUGCGAAAGCGUGGGGAGCAAAC